Molecule: ribosomal RNA, 608 nt
Filed under: uncultured soil bacterium
Lineage: Bacteria
Description: bacterial SSU rRNA
Rfam family: Bacterial small subunit ribosomal RNA
Source: RNAcentral
GAGGAGCCCGCGCCUGAUUAGCUAGUUGGUGGGGUAAUGGCUCACCAAGGCGACGAUCAGUAGCCGGCCUGAGAGGGCGGACGGCCACACUGGGACUGAGACACGGCCCAGACUCCUACGGGAGGCAGCAGUGGGGAAUUGUUCGCAAUGGGCGCAAGCCUGACGACGCAACGCCGCGUGGAGGAUGAAGGUCUUCGGAUUGUAAACUCCUGUUGACCGGGAAGAAUGGGUCCCGACCUAAUACGUGGGGGCAAUGACGGUACCGGUUGAGGAAGCCACGGCUAACUCUGUGCCAGCAGCCGCGGUAAUACAGAGGUGGCAAGCGUUGUUCGGAAUUACUGGGCGUAAAGGGCGCGUAGGCGGCCUUCUAAGUCGGACGUGAAAUCCCCAGGCUUAACUUGGGAACUGCGUCCGAUACUGGAGGGCUCGAGUGCGGGAGAGGGAUGUGGAAUUCCAGGUGUAGCGGUGAAAUGCGUAGAUAUCUGGAGGAACACCGGUGGCGAAGGCGGCAUCCUGGACCGACACUGACGCUGAGGCGCGAAAGCCAGGGGAGCAAACGGGAUUAGAUACCCCGGUAGUCCUGGCCCUAAACGAUGAGUGCUUGGUGU